RNAcentral lists this ribosomal RNA (433 nucleotides) under uncultured bacterium. RNAcentral's name for it is "bacterial SSU rRNA". It matches the Rfam family "Bacterial small subunit ribosomal RNA", at positions 29 to 507 of the family's 1533-position model. The record is from RNAcentral.
AGCGAACGCUGGCGGCAGGCCUAACACAUGCAAGUCGAACGGAUCCUUCGGGAUUAGUGGCGGACGGGUGAGGAACACGUGGGAACGUGCCUUUUGGUUCGGAACAACUCAGGGAAACUUGAGCUAAUACCGGAUAAGCCCUUCGGGGGAAAGAUUUAUCGCCAUUAGAGCGGCCCGCGUCUGAUUAGCUAGUUGGUGAGGUAAAGGCUCACCAAGGCGACGAUCAGUAGCUGGUCUGAGAGGAUGAUCAGCCACACUGGGACUGAGACACGGCCCAGACUCCUACGGGAGGCAGCAGUGGGGAAUCUUGCGCAAUGGGCGAAAGCCUGACGCAGCCAUGCCGCGUGAAUGAUGAAGGUCUUAGGAUUGUAAAAUUCUUUCACCGGGGACGAUAAUGACGGUACCCGGAGAAGAAGCCCCGGCUAACUUCGUG